CCUACGGGAGGCAGCAGUGGGGAAUAUUGCACAAUGGGCGCAAGCCUGAUGCAGCGACGCCGCGUGAGGGAUGACGGCCUUCGGGUUGUAAACUUCUUUCAGUAGGGAAGAAGCGAAAGUGACGGUACCUGCAGAAGAAGCCCG
RNAcentral lists this ribosomal RNA (144 nucleotides) under uncultured bacterium WB10. Its description in RNAcentral is "partial 16S ribosomal RNA". It matches the Rfam family "Bacterial small subunit ribosomal RNA", at positions 338 to 494 of the family's 1533-position model. The record is from RNAcentral. RNAcentral also lists the same sequence under 1 other name.